UUGAUCACUCAAAAGGCAAGCUUAUUAAGAAAAAGAAAAUGGUGUUUGCUGGUUAACCCACUUGAAGUGACUUUUACGAUCCGUAUCUGUAUCUGGCAUCAGUAUCUUCCUUUUAAUUCGGAGCGACAUUAAUUGGCUCGCGAGCAACAAAUUCAGAUCACGUUAACCCAUUGGCGCGCCUACAAAAUUGCCGUCGCCUUCUGUGCAGAAGCACAGCAGCAACAACAGCAACAACAGCAACAACAAGACGACAACCGCAGCAGCAAGUUCUCCCAUGGGCGGGGAAAAUGGUGGAAAAAAGGGGGGUCCGCAAGUAGCAACCUUUUUCGAGGCGGGCUCACUGGCGCUAAGCGAGCUAUAGAGAGAGGGAGAGAGAGAGAAAGAGUGCGCCCAGAAAGAGUGAGACAGAGUGCACGGAAAAGUUGCCCCAAAUGGCCGCAAGCAAAAGCGGGAGGGCAAGAUGAUGCCAAAGCCAACUCCCCGAAAAAGUGCCCCCACUCCACCCAACACCCCCUCGAAACAUCCCCAAGCCCAUACCCACCAUGGUCGUUAGUCGCAGUCGAUCCAAAUCCAGAAACAACGCCAGUCUUUGUUUAACGAUUUUUAUAUUUCGAACACGAGAUAUAUUUGUAUCCUUUGUACUUUGCUUGUUGCCACAGAGUACGAGUAUCUGUGUGUCGAGCCAUGUAGUUGUAUCUGUAGUCGUACGGCUUGUAUUGAUGGCUUCGCCUCGCUUCGUUGGGCUUCGUAUCUUGGGGAUAUGUAGCUACCACACCCCUACCCCCUUCCCCUUCACGAGCAACGAAUGUAUCUCUUCUUGUUUGCAGAUAGCUCGUCGAGAGCUGCGGAGCAAAAGACCAGGCCAAUGAUGAUUGUGAGUCGAGAGCGCCAAGCCGAGCCGAGCCAAGCCAAGUCAAGCACACCAUUUUUGCCCGUAUCUAUGUAUCUUUGUAUCUGGAAGCGCGUGUUGCGGUGCGGAGUGCGUACGCGAGUACGCUGGUACGCUAGUACGCGUCUCUACAAACGUCGACAUGAAUUUUAAUCUAAUAGAUACAAAUGAAAAGGUGUUUGUGUGCUCCGCUCCGGUGUAAUCGCUUUGACUCGCCGGGCUUUUUGGGGCGUAUAGUUGCGGUCGGGCGCAGUGCGGGUAUUGAUUCGUUUUUAGCCUUCGGUUUGGGGAUUUUAUUGCCUUCCCCCCAGUUGCCCCUCCCCACACUCCCAUUUCCCAUUUCCCGCAGGACUUAUCUUGGGAGUUCCCUUGAGCCUGCGGUUAUGCCUGCUGGCGCGUCUGCUGGAUUUUGCCUCUUUAUACAAUGUUUUUGAUUGAUUUUCUUCGAGGAGGUCUACUGAAGAGCAGUGAAAACUUGUAUUAAGUACCGAAAUUGGGGAUUCUUAUUGCAAGAAAGUAGUGAGUGGGUGUGUGGGGGUAAGGGACUUCAGACACUUGUUCUGAAAUAUAAUGGUAAAUAAAAGGGACUUUGAUUGGUUUUAAUGUAACCAAUAUGGAGUUGUUAGAAAAUUAAAGCCUUUGGAGAUUUAGAAAUUAGCUUGAAUAAGGGAAAUGUUUAAGAUUCUGCUUAAAAUAUUGGGAGUUACAUUAAGUUCAUUGGGUUGCAAGGCAAAAUAACUUAUGGAAAUAUAGUAUCUUCAAUAAAUUAUUUUCAAAUUAAUUAAUUGUUGCUGACUGAGAAUUCUUUAGAUAAAGUUUAAAAUGAAAAGUCACGAGAAAUUAAGAGAAAAAAGAAUCUUUUAUUAUUAGUAUAUUUUAUCAUAUAUGAUGUAUAUGAUGUAGUAGAACAUAAAUCUGUGGGAGGAGCAAUGGACAAGCGCCUGCCGUCUUGACGAUUACACGGCUGCAACUUGAGAUGUUGCAAGUGGCAAGUGGGCCAAGAUGCAGCCAACCAGCUAACCGACCAACCAGCCAUUAAUGAACGAAGACAAAAGUGCUACAAAGGAGUGCUCUUCUCUAUCUGGGAGUCUGAAUCGGAGGAGCUGCAGUUUUCAGGUGGGGUGAUGGGCGGGCGGGGGGCAUGGAGCUCAUCCACGUAUCCACGAGUGCCUGUGUAUCUGUGGAUAGGAGGUGCACAUUCAUAUAUCUGCAGUGGUACCUGUAUGCACCCCGGGGCAGGGUUUAAUGCUCGGAGUGUAGCAAACAAACCAGAUAGAUACCGAUGCUCUCCAUAUAGCGAACAGAAUACGGCAUUCACCAUACAGCAUACAGCCAUCAUCGACAUGCGAUGAACAUGGAACAAGUUGUACACAGAUAAUCAUAAAUAAACGAGGCACCAGCGACGAAAAAGUCCGAAAGCAGCAGCAGCGGCAGGAGCAGGAGCAGAGCGAGCGAGCACGAGCGCCGGAGCCACUAGCGCCAGUUGGGGGUUCGAUUGGCACAUCCACAUGCACAGAUACAGAUACAUCCUUCUCCGAAGCUUCAGCUAGAGCCACAUCCCUGUUGGCAAUCGUAGAAACACGGAGAACACAGAAACACAGGCAGCCAGAUAAAAAGAUACUUUUGCACGGCGACACUUGGCUCUGGCUGGCUCUUGGCCAGAACGAGAAGGACUAUAGGCCACUUGGGAAUUGUGCCCGCUCGUUGAAAUCAAUUUCGCCAACCUAAUUAGAAAGAGCGCUCAUCAAAAAUAAUAAGGGUUAAGCUUAGUAGAAUGGCCAAUUAGAUCAAACUUUUCAGAUUCUUUUCCCUUUUCCUUUUUGUUUCUUUUUUUUUGUAUCUGAGCGCCGCAAAGCGUAAUUAAAUUUAAAAGGGCAGCAACUUCUUCCCAAGCCCCAAAAACCCAUUUUCUUUACAUUUUGUUAUUUUUGGAUGGGCUGUGGUUGGAUGUACACGUAAUAAAUUUAAUCAUAAACCGA
Drosophila mauritiana is the source of this 2868-nucleotide long non-coding RNA. RefSeq lists it as uncharacterized. The record is from RefSeq and is a predicted model, not a curated record. The transcript is spliced from 2 exons. NCBI's taxonomy places the organism in Eukaryota, Metazoa, Arthropoda, Insecta, Diptera, Drosophilidae.